GACAGAGGAUGCAAGCGUUAUCCGGAAUGAUUGGGCGUAAAGCGUCUGUAGGUGGCUUUUUAAGUCCGCCGUCAAAUCCCAGGGCUCAACUCUGGACAGGCGGUGGAAACUACCAAGCUGGAGUACGGUAGGGGCAGAGGGAAUUUACGGUGUAGCGGUGAAAUGCGUAGAUAUCUGGAGGAACACCGGUGGCGAAGGCGGCAUCCUGGACCAACACUGACGCUGAGUGAGCGAAAGCCAGGGGAGCAAACGGG
Molecule: ribosomal RNA, 254 nt
Filed under: uncultured bacterium
Lineage: Bacteria
Description: partial 16S ribosomal RNA
Rfam family: Bacterial small subunit ribosomal RNA
Source: RNAcentral